RNAcentral lists this ribosomal RNA (265 nucleotides) under uncultured bacterium. RNAcentral's name for it is "partial 16S ribosomal RNA". It matches the Rfam family "Bacterial small subunit ribosomal RNA", at positions 793 to 1055 of the family's 1533-position model. The record is from RNAcentral.
GUCCACGCCGUAAACGAUGUGUGCUAGCUGCUGGGCAGUUUACUGUUCGGUGGCGCAGCUAACGCUUUAAGCACACCGCCUGGGGAGUACGGUCGCAAGAUUAAAACUCAAAGGAAUUGACGGGGACCCGCACAAGCGGUGGAGCAUGUGGUUUAAUUCGACGCAACGCGAAGAACCUUACCAGGCCUUGACAUCCCGAUUGCGGAAUUCAGAGAUGAGUUCCUUCAUUUAGUUGGAUCGGUGACAGGUGCUGCAUGGCUGUCGU